GUCAUACUACGGUGCAAUCCCCUGUAAAGUAAACGAUGACCCCCAGGGAACUCCAGGUUAAAAUACGUAUCAAAAUGCGAAAUACGACUAGCCUGAAGCUUUGCUUCGGGGUAGUUUUCUUU
Mangrovibacter sp. MFB070 is the source of this 122-nucleotide regulatory RNA element. It matches the Rfam family "Enterobacteria greA leader". The record is from Rfam. NCBI's taxonomy places the organism in Bacteria, Pseudomonadati, Pseudomonadota, Gammaproteobacteria, Enterobacterales, Enterobacteriaceae.